AACGAACGCUGGCGGCAUGCCUAACACAUGCAAGUCGAACGAGACCUUCGGGCCUAGUCGCGCACGGGUGCGUAACGCGUGGGAAUCUGCCCUUGGGUUCGGAAUAACAGCUGGAAACGACUGCUAAUACCGGAUGAUGACGUAAUUCCAAAGAUUUAUGGCCCAAGGAUGAGCCCGCGUAGGAUUAGCUAGUUGGUGAGGUAAAGGCUCACCAAGGCGACGAUCCUUAGCUGGUAUGGGAGGAUGAUCAGCCACACUGGGACUGAGACACGGACGGGACUCUUACGGAAGGCAGAAGUGGGGAAUAUUGAACAAUGGGCGAAAGCAUGAGGCAGUCAUGCCGCGUGGGUGAGGAAGGCCUGAGGGUUGGAAAGCUCUUUUAACCGGGAUGAUAAUGACAGUACCGGAAGAAUAAGCGACGGCUAACUCCGUG
RNAcentral lists this ribosomal RNA (433 nucleotides) under uncultured bacterium. Its description in RNAcentral is "partial 16S ribosomal RNA". It matches the Rfam family "Bacterial small subunit ribosomal RNA", at positions 29 to 507 of the family's 1533-position model. The record is from RNAcentral.